ACACUGCUUUUUUUUUUUCUUUUUUUUUUUUUUUUUAAAGCCGACACCGCCGCCGAGCAGCCGGCACGACGGGGCUGUUGGGGGGGGCUCCCCGCGGCGGCUCGGGCCCGGCAGCGCCCGGCGUUCAGCACCACCAUUACAGGAAGUCCCGCCGAGCCCCGCCGCCCCGCACGGCGGGCUGCUCGCCGCCGCCGCCCUCCAUUUUCCAGCCCCAGCAACCUGCCGCGCGGCCCCUGCGCGCCGGGGGCCGGCCCCCGCCAGGCGAAACCGGGAGACGGGGGGCGAGCGCCGGGGGGCGGCUGCGCCCCCGGGACACGGCAGCGCCCGGGGUGGGCUGCCCGCAGGACCGAGGGAAGGAGGGGAGCCGGGCAGCGCAGCGACAGGGGCGGCGAGGGGCUGCCCGUGCCGGCUCCCCCCCCCGGGGCAGGGGCGCCGAGGGGCCACACGCACCUUCCUUCUCCGCGGUCGCUCACUCCCGCGGCGCUGCCAUGCGGCGAGGGGAGCGGCCGGGCCGAGCCGGGCCGGGCCGGGCCGGGCGGGGCUCGGCUCCUAGCGGCGCCCUGCAGCGCGCUCUCCGCAUGCGGCGCGCACCCGCAUGGCUCGGCGGCACGGACGGCACCGGCAGCCGGCGGGGGCCGGUCCCGCGUCCCGGAGCACCGCCCGCCGCCCGGCAGCGGCCAAUGGCCCCCGCGGCGCCGCGCAUGUGAGGGCCGGCCCCGCCCGUGCCGCCCGGCCCCUGCCCUCAGGUGCCGGCGGGGAGCCGGGCCCGGCCGAGCGGGUGCUGAGGUGCUCCCUGGCCCCCGGGGCGGCUGCAAGCCCGCGCUUUCAUUGCUGAGGCGCUCUGUGAAAGUAAAAUUAAAUAAAAUCAAACGUGUGCUUCUCUGGGACCCGACCGGCCGGGUGGCGGGGGUGCGCCACGCACGGCGACGCCACACACGGAAACCAGCGCCUGAGAGGGCGCAGGCACCAAACCAGGCUCGCCCCAAAACCUCCUUACCCUCCUUACACUGCAGGGGCACCCCUCUCCCGAACUCUUCACUGGGUGCUGACAACUGA
Molecule: long non-coding RNA, 1056 nt
Filed under: Cairina moschata (Muscovy duck)
Lineage: Eukaryota; Metazoa; Chordata; Aves; Anseriformes; Anatidae
Description: domestica (muscovy Duck (domestic type)) lncRNA (ENSCMMG00000015137.1)
Source: RNAcentral